This is a non-coding RNA of Podarcis lilfordi (Lilford's wall lizard), 117 nucleotides long. The record is from the annotation of a GenBank genome assembly. NCBI's taxonomy places the organism in Eukaryota, Metazoa, Chordata, Lepidosauria, Squamata, Lacertidae.
ACCUUAGAGACCAACUAAGUUUGUUAUUGGUAUGAGCUUUUGUGUGCAUGCACACUUCUUCAGAUGCCAUGCACACGAAAGCUCAUACCAAUAACAAACUUAGUUGGUCUUUAAGGU